Molecule: ribosomal RNA, 209 nt
Filed under: uncultured bacterium
Lineage: Bacteria
Description: partial 16S ribosomal RNA
Rfam family: Bacterial small subunit ribosomal RNA
Source: RNAcentral
AGCGCAGACGGUUAUUUAAGCAAGAUGUGAAAGCCCCGGGCUCAACCUGGGAACUGCGUUUUGAACUGGGUAACUAGAGUGUGUCAGAGGGGGGUAGGAAUUCCACGUGUAGCAGUGAAAUGCGUAGAGAUGUGGAGGAAUACCGAUGGCGAAGGCAGCCCCCUCGGGAUAACACUGACGUUCAUGCUCGAAAGCGUGGGUAGCAAACA